UGGGGAAUUUUGCACAAUGGGGGAAACCCUGAUGCAGCGACGCCGCGUGAUUUAGAAGGCCUUCGGGUUGUAAAAAUCUUUUCUAUGGGAAGAAAAUGACAGUACCAUAGGAAUAAGGACCGGCUAAUUACGUGCCAGCAGCCGCGGUAAUACGUAAGGUCCGAGCGUUGUCCGGAAUCAUUGGGCGUUAAGGGUACGUAGGCGGGUAAGCAAGUUAGAAGUGAAAUCCUAUAGCUCAACUAUAGUAAGCUUUUAAAACUGCUCAUCUUGAGGUAUGGAAGGGAAAGUGGAAUUCCUAGUGUAGCGGUGAAAUGCGCAGAUAUUAGGAGGAAUACCGGUGGCGAAGGCGACUUUCUGGCCAUAACCUGACGCUGAGGUACGAAAGCGUGGGUAGCAAACAGG
RNAcentral lists this ribosomal RNA (402 nucleotides) under bacterium. RNAcentral's name for it is "partial 16S ribosomal RNA". It matches the Rfam family "Bacterial small subunit ribosomal RNA", at positions 355 to 776 of the family's 1533-position model. The record is from RNAcentral.